This 226-nucleotide long non-coding RNA is filed under the name Homo sapiens (human). RNAcentral's name for it is "HSALNT0294719". Lineage: Eukaryota; Metazoa; Chordata; Mammalia; Primates; Hominidae. The record is from RNAcentral.
CCCAUGCAACUUGCCACCACAGAGCCAGGCCCGCGGCGACUGGCUCCUGGUGGGUAUUAAAGACGAGUCGGGAAAGAAGAGCAGGCUCAAUCAAACCUUCAAUGGCCCCGAAAGACAUCUUGAUUGAAACCUCAUGAGAGACUCUGAGCCAGAAAACCCAGCAACUUAGAACCCAGAUACCUGACCAUCAGCCACUGUGUGAAAUAAUAAAUGUUUGUUGUUUUAA